This 30-nucleotide non-coding RNA is filed under the name Rattus norvegicus (Norway rat). Lineage: Eukaryota; Metazoa; Chordata; Mammalia; Rodentia; Muridae. The record is from RNAcentral.
UAAGAGUAUAUGAAUAUUGAUGUUCAGAUC